This is a long non-coding RNA of Malania oleifera, 693 nucleotides long. RefSeq lists it as uncharacterized. The record is from RefSeq and is a predicted model, not a curated record. NCBI's taxonomy places the organism in Eukaryota, Viridiplantae, Streptophyta, Magnoliopsida, Santalales, Ximeniaceae. The transcript has 2 exons.
GGAUCUCUCUAUCUCCAUUUUGAUAACUAACUAUAUAUGCAUCUCAGUUGAAUGGUAGCUGGGGGUGUGACCAAAGAAAGGCUGGUGCAUUACCAUACUCUCUAGCUACUAGCUAUUAGCUUUAGGUAUGUACAGUUUGUAUCUUGUACUAGUAGCUAGCUAGUGUCCUCCCUUCUCCCAUCACAAGUUAUGGAUCCACCACCACCUUCCGACGAGCCGCUCCUCCCUCCACCCCCACCGCCAACACCUCCCCCACCGCCCUCUGACGGAGGAUUCCUUGAGUCAUGCCUGUGGUGUCUCUGCUGCUGUGGUCUAUUUGCAAGCUGCUGCCCUCCACUGUUUGAGCCAGGGCCUCCACCUCCCUAGCUAGCUAGCGAUGCAUUCUCAAUUUUUUGCCUCGUUUUUGAGAUGUGUUUGUGUAUGCAUGUGCUAGGAAUACAGAGAACAGUUUCUGAUUGAACUUAAGAUUCAUUGUUGUUGUCUUUCUGUUCUUUUAAUGGGUUUGAACCCACACUUUUCUGAUGGGGGAGCUAGCUUGAUACUUUAGUGCAAUUAAAGUUCUUAUUCCAUUUAUUUGCAUGAAUAAGUGGCAGCUUUAGUCACAACUGCAGAUUGUACCGCUCCAAUGUGACUUCUUUAAUUGUGCUUUAUAGAAAAAAGAAUGAGGCAUCUUUGAGUGCUGUGGAUUAUUUA